CGGCGGACGGGUGAGUAAUGUCUGGGAAACUGCCCGAUGGAGGGGGAUAACUACUGGAAACGGUAGCUAAUACCGCAUAACGUCGCAAGACCAAAGAGGGGGACCUUAGGGCCUCUUGCCAUCGGAUGUGCCCAGAUGGGAUUAGCUAGUAGGUGGGGUAACGGCUCACCUAGGCGACGAUCCCUAGCUGGUCUGAGAGGAUGACCAGCCACACUGGAACUGAGACACGGUCCAG
Molecule: ribosomal RNA, 235 nt
Filed under: uncultured bacterium
Lineage: Bacteria
Description: partial 16S ribosomal RNA
Rfam family: Bacterial small subunit ribosomal RNA
Source: RNAcentral